UGCUUGUUUGCUUGACACGCGUGUGCGC
RNAcentral lists this small RNA (28 nucleotides) under Bombyx mori (domestic silkworm). Its description in RNAcentral is "ovarian small RNA-34330". Lineage: Eukaryota; Metazoa; Arthropoda; Insecta; Lepidoptera; Bombycidae. The record is from RNAcentral.